GACGAACGCUGGCGGCGUGCUUAACACAUGCAAGUCGAACGGGAAGGCCCUGCUUGCAGGGUACUCGAGUGGCGAACGGGUGAGUAACACGUGGGUGAUCUGCCCUGCACUUCGGGAUAAGCCAGGGAAACUGGGUCUAAUGCCGGAUAGGAGCCAUUUUUAGUGUGAUGGUUGGAAAGGUUUUUUCGGUGUAGGAUGAGCUCGCGGCCUAUCAGCUUGUUGGUGGGGUAAUGGCCUACCAAGGCGGCGACGGGUAGCCGGCCUGAGAGGGUGGACGGCCACAUUGGGACUGAGAUACGGCCCAGACUCCUACGGGAGGCAGCAGUGGGGAAUAUUGCACAAUGGGCGCAAGCCUGAUGCAGCGACGCCGCGUGGGGGAUGACGGCCUUCGGGUUGGAAACUCCUUUCGCUAGGGACGAAGCUUUUUGUGACGGUACCUAGAUAAGAAGCACCGGCUAACUACGUG
RNAcentral lists this ribosomal RNA (466 nucleotides) under uncultured bacterium. RNAcentral describes it as "partial 16S ribosomal RNA". It matches the Rfam family "Bacterial small subunit ribosomal RNA", at positions 28 to 507 of the family's 1533-position model. The record is from RNAcentral.